AAUGCGCCAGGGACCCUAGCGGAAAUCCUUUCUCGUCAGAGAAAGAUUGGAGCGGAGGGCCCGGUCCUUU
Molecule: small RNA, 70 nt
Filed under: Leptospira meyeri
Lineage: Bacteria; Pseudomonadati; Spirochaetota; Leptospiria; Leptospirales; Leptospiraceae
Description: Flavo-1 RNA
Rfam family: Flavo-1 RNA
Source: RNAcentral